UUUACUGCAGAAUACAUCAUCUCACAACAAAUAUGUACCAGUAAAGUAACCAAAAUAAAUGGUGGUCAAUCAACUUAACCUAUACUUAUCAACAAAAAUAACCACCAAUCAUGGAACAAUAAAUCAUUCCAAUCUAAUAUUUAAAGGAAGACACGACAGCAAAGGUUUUCGUCACUUUGAACACAUCUUCAUCCCAUCAAGCAGAGGACAAAUCCAAUCCAAACGGACCUGAACAAUCCAAAUCUAUGAUGAGAGGACAGGGCACUCCCACAGGAUGGUCUUGAGUCAAGAGAGCGGGCCAAUCUCGCCCGACGCUGGACUUCUAAAUACAACGCAUCCUCCUGCGAGAUGUGAGCAGUUAUCUCGAGGAGCGGAUUAAGGUAGGUAGUGGUGAUGCCCAUGAUCAGAAGGCUGGCGCACACAUGUCAUCUCUUGUAU
Molecule: long non-coding RNA, 438 nt
Organism: Dalotia coriaria
Lineage: Eukaryota; Metazoa; Arthropoda; Insecta; Coleoptera; Staphylinidae
Exons: 3
Source: RefSeq, a predicted model, not a curated record